CCUUUGACCACUCUAGAGAUAGAGCUUCCCCUUCGGGGGCAAAGUGACAGGUGGUGCAUGGUUGUCGUCAGCUCGUGUCGUGAGAUGUUGGGUUAAGUCCCGCAACGAGCGCAACCCUUAUUGUUAGUUGCCAUCAUUCAGUUGGGCACUCUAGCAAGACUGCCGGUGACAAACCGGAGGAAGGUGGGGAUGACGUCAAAUCAUCAUGCCCCUUAUGACCUGGGCUACACACGUGCUACAAUGGGAAGUACAACGAGUYGCGAAGUCGCGAGGCUAAGCUAAUCUCUUAAAGCUUCUCUCAGUUCGGAUUGCAGGCUGCAACUCGCCUGCAUGAAGCCGGAAUCGCUAGUAAUCGCGGAUCAGCACGCCGCGGUGAAUACGUUCCCGGGCCUUGUACACACCGCCCGUCACACCACGAGAGUUUGUAACACCCGAAGUCGGUGAGGUAACCUUUUUGGAGCCAGCCGCCUAAGGUGGGAUAGAUGAUUGGGGUGAAGUCGUAACAAGGUAGCCGUAUCGGAAGGUGCGGCUGGAUCACCUCCUUUCUAAGGAA
RNAcentral lists this ribosomal RNA (553 nucleotides) under Enterococcus faecium. RNAcentral describes it as "bacterial SSU rRNA". It matches the Rfam family "Bacterial small subunit ribosomal RNA", at positions 988 to 1533 of the family's 1533-position model. Lineage: Bacteria; Bacillati; Bacillota; Bacilli; Lactobacillales; Enterococcaceae. The record is from RNAcentral.